This 263-nucleotide long non-coding RNA is filed under the name Elaeis guineensis (African oil palm). RNAcentral's name for it is "long non-coding RNA (EGUI_LNC004088)". The record is from RNAcentral. Lineage: Eukaryota; Viridiplantae; Streptophyta; Magnoliopsida; Arecales; Arecaceae.
UUAUAUACGGCUCAAUGACAUCACAAUUGAAUAACAUGUAGCAGUGUGCCUUAUCUCUUUCCUUAAGGCUCAAAUCAGUGAGGCGGUAUGAAGUGAGAAGUCUAUCUGACUAUGGAAUGGACUCAAAUACAGGCUCAAUUGGCUCAUACUGACCAUCCUGAUUCUUCAUUAGCCGGUUACGACAUGUCUUGAGCUUGUUUAAGUAUAUAGUACAAAAAUCCAUACACUUUUAACUCAAAUAAUCUUUUGCUAUGGAUCCCUCC